UAACGACUCUCGGCAACGGAUAUCUCGGCUCUCGCAUCGAUGAAGAACGUAGCGAAAUGCGAUACUUGGUGUGAAUUGCAGAAUCCCGUGAACCAUCGAGUCUUUGAACGCAAGUUGCGCCCGAAGCCGUUAGGCUGAGGGCACGCCUGCCUGGGCGUCACGC
Molecule: ribosomal RNA, 163 nt
Filed under: Soleirolia soleirolii
Lineage: Eukaryota; Viridiplantae; Streptophyta; Magnoliopsida; Rosales; Urticaceae
Description: 5.8S ribosomal RNA
Rfam family: 5.8S ribosomal RNA
About the family: 5.8S ribosomal RNA (5.8S rRNA) is a component of the large subunit of the eukaryotic ribosome. It is transcribed by RNA polymerase I as part of the 45S precursor that also contains 18S and 28S rRNA.
Source: RNAcentral